This 88-nucleotide transfer RNA is filed under the name Prevotella sp. oral taxon 376. Its description in RNAcentral is "tRNA-Ser". It matches the Rfam family "tRNA". Rfam says of the family: Transfer RNA (tRNA) molecules are approximately 80 nucleotides in length. Their secondary structure includes four short double-helical elements and three loops (D, anti-codon, and T loops). The record is from RNAcentral. Lineage: Bacteria; Pseudomonadati; Bacteroidota; Bacteroidia; Bacteroidales; Prevotellaceae.
GGAAAGGUGGUAGAGUGGUCGAUUACAACGGUCUUGAAAACCGUCGUACCGAGAGGUACCGGGGGUUCGAAUCCCUCCCUUUCCGCAA